AACAAGGGGUAGGCUUGCGAACACCCCGUGAGGCGGCAGCCCAAGUUCGCAUGUAUCCAAAGCAACAAGGAAACAUGCUAUG
Molecule: regulatory RNA element, 82 nt
Organism: Ruegeria sp. ANG-R
Lineage: Bacteria; Pseudomonadati; Pseudomonadota; Alphaproteobacteria; Rhodobacterales; Roseobacteraceae
Rfam family: chrB-a RNA
Source: Rfam